UUUAGAUUAUUAAAAUUCUUAAUAUUUAAAUUCAAAUAUUGACCUUGUAGUUUUUUUCAUUAUACAACAUCAACAUGUGACAGAACCUUAAAAUAAGGGCAGUAUAAUUCCUUUUCUUUCUUCUUUUUACCUUGACCAUUUUUGUAUCACAGACCUGCCUUUGUACUCGCUAUUGUACUCUUUCUAUAUUAAGGAGGCAAGUAGACAAGCAGGAUUUAUUGGACAUCAAACGUCCACAGCUCUAAACUUCAACAAUCAUGCGACAAGUGACAGGGCGUGAAAUACAUUUCAAGAGAGACAAUAAAGACCUGCAGCUGUUGUCUGUGGUAAGGUAAGACAGGGCCAAGGUCACAGCUGUGAGAUCUCUUUCAUUAUCACUCACCACUGGUAACAGUAAGAUCGACACGCCCAGUGCAACACUGGACACGUGGAACUUUUUCCUUUUCUUUAGCAAGUGUUCAGUCUCCAUAUUCAAGCUGAAGUUCAUGUUACACAAAUACAUGUUACCAGGGCAUACUUUGAACUGAACAAGUGUUAUCAGUCAUCAUCUACUGCUUUAUAUUGGUUGUAAAUCAAACAGAUGAAAUUUUCAGAUUUCAUUAAAUUAGAAGCAAAUAAAGGGUAAGAAGGGUUUUUAUCCUUGAUGGAGGUAAAACAUUUGACAAAUCAAUAAAUGGUAAAGGCAAAUAAGUAAACAAAGGAAUUACGUGACUGAAAUUAAUGUCACCACAGCUCCUGCAUUUCACUGCACCGGGAAAACAACAUUCUCUUACUUGCCACAAGCAAAUGCUACUAUAGUAAUAAGGGUUUUGUCCAUUGUGAUGGUUUGAUCUCACUUGGCCCUUUAUUUAUAACCUCUAUUUGCACCCUCUUAUCCUUAUAUGGUGCCCGGACUUAAACGUUUGCGCCACCUACUGCCUGAGUAGACGAACUAACCAAUCAAACCAGUGGGUGGUUUCUUUUACAGAACUUUUGAAAUCUUUAUAUUUCAAUUUCAUACUGUGCGACCAGCAAUAAUUAAUGACUAACUCGGCUGUAAAAGGAAAACAGGAUGGGUGCGAUUCAUGUAAACAUACGUUUGGCCAUGACCUACAUACAGAUCAAAGGAAGGUGAGGGUGGUGUCUGUCUAGGCAGAAAACCUGCUAUGUGGCUAGUGUGAAAAUGUGUUUUUAACUAUGAAUCCAGAAAGAUUAAUCACAUUGCCCUAAAAACUUCGUCCGAUGGCAAAUUUUGCAAGUCGUGGUGUGCACACCAAAUUGGGUAAGUUUUUGUGCAGGGCAAAGUGCACUCAAAAAGUAAAUGAAAGAAAAAUAAUUGGAUUGGAUACAAUAGGGCCUUUGCAACAGUUGGUUCUCAACCCUUAAAUGAAGAGUAUGCAACGUAUUGUUCAAGGCUUGUUCAAGGCAAAAAAGUCUUAUUAGACCUAUGAGAUGACAAAGAUAGACAAGGAUUAAAGGGUCCCAAAGGGUUGCGGGGCUUUAGCACCACCUGCUGUUAAACAUAAGAAAAACCCAGAGAGGCUUAACUUUUUGAUGAUACAUAUGAUGGUCAGAGCAUCAUGGAUGAUUUUGUUGCAAAAGGCCUAACACUGCAUGACUGCAUGAGGAGCAUUUUUGUCCAUUAAGCUACAAAAGGUGGCGUUGAAAAAAACCAAACAUCUAUGGGCCAUCCCUGCAAACAAAUUAUUAUUAUUAUAAUUAAAUAUGUGAUGCCAACAAAUAGCUUAAUUUCUUUAUAGAUUAUGGUCAUGUAUGUAUAAUUAUUGCAUAAAAUGAAGAAAAGGAAAGUCACAGUUUUGUUUCUGCAUGAUCCCCUACAUACAUAUUCAAUGAUUGUGCUCUGAAACAAUGUCAAAGUGCUGUGACCUGUACUUCACACUUCUGUUCGCAAGAUGGCUGCUGCAAGUGCCCUUGGCCUGAUCCAGUUGACAUGGCAUUGUUUUCUUCUAUGUAUCCUUGAGGACAAAGAUAACUUGUGAAAUUCCUGCUGGCGGCCUUCGGGUACCUUUGGGGACAGCUUGUGACGCUGGUGGUCGGGGAAGGUUUUUCCGUUGACCAGCGGCAACAGACUAUGGACUUCUGCGCGGACACUUGUCUCCUGAUGAGGCAAAGAUCAGGACAUGGCAAAGUGUUAGAAUGGUGUCUUGAAGGACUGCACCUCAAAGUGCACCCAAGUCCAGAUUCUCUGUUGCAUGCAUAUUGCUGCAGAAAGAAAGACCACACUGCUGAUUUGAAGAGGAUCCUGUUGGGGAAACCUUUCCUGCAGAUCCUGAUGCCCUCCAGCACACCGUUACAGCGCAGCUGGUGCAUCACCAGGGGAUUCUCCAUAGCCCCAGGAGUCUUUGUCUCGUUGGGGAUGAUGCAGCGCACAAAGUGAGGCUGUCUCAAUCCCUGUGGAAACCUCCAUCUGUGCCGUGCGUUGCCCCCCUCCCUGACAGUCAGGGCCUGACUCAUCUCCUUUUCUUUGAGUCACAGCCAUGCAGACGCACCCCAAAGAUCAAACUUUUGAAGGUCACACCAUGUGAGAUCAAAGUCAGUGUUGGGUCCUGCACACAUGUCAAGCUGAGAUACAUACAACCUUCACUUUGCUUCUUCUGACGGUGUGAGAGGGUGAGAAUCACUCCCUCCCUGUUCUGGUGCAGGUGAAC
Long non-coding RNA from Solea senegalensis (Senegalese sole), 2648 nucleotides. RefSeq lists it as uncharacterized. The transcript has 6 exons. Lineage: Eukaryota; Metazoa; Chordata; Actinopteri; Pleuronectiformes; Soleidae. The record is from RefSeq and is a predicted model, not a curated record.